CCUACGGGGGGCAGCAGUGGGGAAUAUUGCACAAUGGGGGAAACCCUGAUGCAGCGACGCCGCGUGAGCGAAGAAGUAUUUCGGUAUGUAAAGCUCUAUCAGCAGGGAAGAAAAUGACGGUACCUGACUAAGAAGCUCCGGCUAAAUACGUGCCAGCAGCCGCGGUAAUACGUAUGGAGCAAGCGUUAUCCGGAUUUACUGGGUGUAAAGGGAGCGUAGGCGGUAAGGCAAGUCUGAUGUGAAAGGCCAGGGCUCAACCCUGGGACUGCAUUGGAAACUGUUUAACUGGAGUGUCGGAGAGGCAAGUGGAAUUCCUAGUGUAGCGGUGAAAUGCGUAGAUAUUAGGAGGAACACCAGUGGCGAAGGCGGCUUGCUGGACGAUGACUGACGCUGAGGCUCGAAAGCGUGGGGAGCAAACAGGAUUAGAUACCCCGGUAG
Molecule: ribosomal RNA, 438 nt
Filed under: uncultured bacterium
Lineage: Bacteria
Description: bacterial SSU rRNA
Rfam family: Bacterial small subunit ribosomal RNA
Source: RNAcentral